AUGAGGAAUGAGGAUGCUGAAGUAACCUUCAAAUGGAUAUGGAAAUCAUGCUGCCUGCCAAAGCAUAAAUUCUUUUGCUGGCUUCCACUUCAUGAUAGAAUAAACACAUGUGACCUCCUGACCAGGAAAAAUAUGCAUCUUGAUUCCACUCAAUGUGUAUUAUGUGAUGCUGAAGAUAAUGAAGACAGAAUGCAUCUAAUAUUCUCAUGUCCAUUCAGCCAGGGUUUUUGGUGGAACAUUGGUCUUGAAUGGAACACAGACCUGAAUAUUCAUGAUAUGAUUAUUGAAGCCCAUCAAAGAUAUCGCCAACACCAUUUCAUGGAAAUUAUGAUUGUUGAAUGCCGGAGUAUAUGGAAUGAAAGAAAUGGACUGAUAUUUGAAGGAAUCCCAUGCUCUAUCAAUGAUUGCAGAUAUGAAUUUAUCAAAACUUUCAAGUUGACUACGCUAAGAGCCAAACCUAGUCAAAAGGAGGGAAUGUCAUCUUGGAUUGAUAACAUUUAA
This 501-nucleotide ribosomal RNA is filed under the name Triticum aestivum (bread wheat). RNAcentral describes it as "partial small subunit ribosomal RNA". The record is from RNAcentral. Lineage: Eukaryota; Viridiplantae; Streptophyta; Magnoliopsida; Poales; Poaceae.